GUGCUUGCUUCAGCAGCACAUAUAUUAAAACUGGAAGAACAGAGAAAAGAUUAGCAUGGCUCCUGAGCAAGGAUGACACUCAAGAUCAUGAAGCAUUCCAUAUUUUA
This is a small nuclear RNA of Pteronotus mesoamericanus, 107 nucleotides long. Lineage: Eukaryota; Metazoa; Chordata; Mammalia; Chiroptera; Mormoopidae. The record is from RefSeq and is a predicted model, not a curated record.